CUUGACGAGGUCCCAGGCGGCGUCGAGCGCACCCUGGUCGUAGAGGAGGCCAACCCAGAGGGCCGGGAGCGCGCAGAUCCGGCCCCAGGGCCGCCGUCUGCGCCGCGCAUCUCCAGGAAGGUCUUGAGCCGCACUUCGGGGAAGGCGGGGACGACGUCAGGUCAUCAUGGCCCUUACGCCUAGGGCUACACACGUGCU
Molecule: ribosomal RNA, 198 nt
Filed under: uncultured Bacteroidota bacterium
Lineage: Bacteria; Pseudomonadati; Bacteroidota
Description: uncultured Bacteroidetes bacterium partial 16S ribosomal RNA
Source: RNAcentral